This 301-nucleotide ribosomal RNA is filed under the name uncultured bacterium. RNAcentral describes it as "partial 16S ribosomal RNA". It matches the Rfam family "Bacterial small subunit ribosomal RNA", at positions 509 to 807 of the family's 1533-position model. The record is from RNAcentral.
CAGUCGCCGCGGUAAUACGGAGGGCGCGAGCGUUACCCGGAUUUACUGGGCGUAAAGGGCGUGUAGGCGGCCUGGGGCGUCCCAUGUGAAAGGCCACGGCUCAACCGUGGAGGAGCGUGGGAUACGCUCAGGCUAGAGGGUGGGAGAGGGUGGUGGAAUUCCCGGAGUAGCGGUGAAAUGCGCAGAUACCGGGAGGAACGCCGAUGGCGAAGGCAGCCACCUGGUCCACUUCUGACGCUGUGGCGCGAAAGCGUGGGGAGCAAACCGGAUUAGAUACCCGCGUAGUCCCUGUCUCUUAUAC